CAUUUUUCUUUUUCCUCCUUUUCUUAUUUGCAGACAAGUCUGAUUUUUCUUCCUUCAACUCACCAGCAACAGCUCCUGUUUCUUCACUUACACUGGCUGCUGAGAUGACUUCAAUGGCACGACUGAUGACUGCACCCUCACUGUUCAUGUUUAUUUUCGCGCGCUCAUCUCUCUUCUCACUGAUGCCAGCUCUUUCUUUCUCUCUGUAAUUGUCUUCAGCGUUCACGUCCAUUGUUUUAUUAGCAGCAGUUCUCUCUUGCUUUU
Non-coding RNA from Biomphalaria pfeifferi, 264 nucleotides. NCBI's taxonomy places the organism in Eukaryota, Metazoa, Mollusca, Gastropoda, Planorbidae. The record is from the annotation of a GenBank genome assembly.